This 5263-nucleotide long non-coding RNA is filed under the name Macaca mulatta (Rhesus monkey). RNAcentral's name for it is "lncRNA (ENSMMUG00000060770.1)". Lineage: Eukaryota; Metazoa; Chordata; Mammalia; Primates; Cercopithecidae. The record is from RNAcentral.
GGGAAAGAUGUGGAGCCUACUGACUCAGGAUCAAAUCCCAGCGGGGCGGUAUCUGCGAGUCGCCGCAACCCACAGCCUCAGACAAUAUAGCUGACCUUGGUCCUAGGACCUGCUAGGGCGCCGGGACACAGGAAACUCAGCCUCGGAAUGUAUCACUUCCGGAUAUACCUAACCACAUCUUGUCCUGGCAAGAUCCAAACAGAAAGGUCAGUCAUUUCUUAUUAGAGGAUAAAUCAAUUGGUAAGUUUCCCAGUGGCAAUUUUCACAAAUGUCGAGACUUUCCAGGAUCUCUUAAUGUGGGGAAAAUAAAAGUGAGCAUGGUGAUUUCAAAGACAUUUGCCCUUAAAGUAAAUUUCAGCAAACCAAUUCCCAAAUCAAACUGUGACCCACGGCCUUUUAUGUCUCUUAAUAAGAGUGACAAAAUAGUUUAUUUUUCAAAUAUAAGUCCACAUUUUAUUACAGUUUUUUAGAACAUUAGAGAAAAGUUCCACAUAAAAUGAAAGGGAAUUUGUUUGUGGGCUACAAAUCAAUUCUGAAUAAGCAAUUAUUAAGGCUUUCAUCCUCGUGACUGGGGACAACUGCAGGGUUAGAAGCUCAUGCUAAGUCGCUCAACAUUUGUGGGAUAUCCAGUGUGUGAGAACUCAGUUCUGAAUAAUGCAGCAGCAUCUAUGGAAUAUAUUAAAUAUUCACAAAUAAAUCUUAUUUUAAGGCAUAAAUUAUUUUAAGUUGCCUAUGGAUAUUUUUGAAUGAGGUAGAAUAUUUUAUAAAAUCAAGCAUUUAUUGGAAUGUACGUUACUGUUUGAAAAGGAAAAAUAUGUACGGGCCCCACUUACAGCUGUGCCAAAUAUUAAUAAUGAUCAUGAAACCCCUUUAAAUUUAAACUAAAAAUCAUUAUAAUGCUAUGUUUAAGAUUUUAGAAAAUAUUACAGUUUUCAUGGGAAUACAAUAUUCUUUUGAAAUAUUUUUGGAGUUAUCAUCUUGCUAAACUAGCAAUAUUUAGGGAUAUUUUUAUCCUUAAGCAAUAUUUAAGCAAUACCCUUUGAAUCAAUAUUUAAGAUAACUGCAGAUAUCUGGGGAGUUGUAAAGACAGUUGUGUUAUUAUAUGUGCAUUUUAAACCCACUUUCUGCCAAGAAAGUAAAAAAAACUCAGGCAUUAGAGGGAUUAUUUUUUAGUCUCUAAAAGUGUAAGCUGAUAAGAACGGAUAAAACCAGUAAGAAAAAUUCAUACUCUCAUCACAGAUAUGCCCAGAGUUGCCUUUUAAUUUUUCUUAUUUUCUGCUUUUGCAGUAUACUGUGGAAAAACAGGGAGCAGGAAACAGAAAGGAGUAAUAUCUCUUCUGGCAGAGCGGUGUCUUCAAGCUGCAAACUGUGUAGAAUAGAGAAUGGGGAGUUAAAGGUUUCUAUCAUUCAGGACGGGGAGUAAAAUACAAAAUCAAAAUUCUUAGAUUAAAUACAGGUGAGAAUGGUGUACAAGGCAUUCAUCUCUUAAAUAAAAAAGAACCUCUGUAGAUUUUACAAGGUGAGGUUCAAUAAGAUUCUGUGCUGGGCAAUAUGACAGACACAGAAAUAAGUUAUUUCAGGGGCAGAUGAAUAUCAUUAAUUGUAUUUCUUCAAGCAGUUCCUUACACGUUGCUAAUUGGAAAUACACUUGUUACUUGUUAUGUGACAUCAUCAUUUUAAACUAGGGAUUUAGCAAAUAAAUAAUAUAGUAAAAAUUCUCAACUUAUUUAUUUCCCUCUCUUUGUAUACCUUGUUGCUUAAUACAAUUCUAUUCCUGUUAGGCCUUUAUCCCAUUGCUCUUAGAAACUGCCAGUAUUCAUUUUGCCUUUUUACUUCUUAUGUUAUUAAUUCUCUUUGGAAGAUUAUCUACUCCCUUAUCUGGCUAUUUUAAACAUCUCUAAAGGGUCAGAAUAAAUUUUGCCUCUUUGAUGAUGUCUUUAAAUUUUCUUUUCUCUUUUUCUUUCCUUUUCUUUUCUUUUCUUGUUUCUUCUUUUUUUCUUUUUGAGACAAAGUCUUGUUCUGUCACCCAGGCUGGAGUGCAGUGGUGUGAUCAUGGCUCAUUGCAGCCUUAUCCUCUCACGCUCAAGUAAUCCUCCCACUUCAGUCCCCUGAGGCUGGGAAAACAGGCACAAGCCGCUAUGCCUGGGUAACUUUCUAUUUUGUGUAGAGUCAGGGUCUGGCUAUGUUACUAGGCUAGUUUUAAUCUAGUUUUAAUUGUUUUCUGCCAUAGUUUUUUUGUUUUGUUUUUUUGUUGUUGUUUUGUUUUGUUUUUUUUUUAGCUGGGACUAUAGGUGCUCACCACCAUGCCUGACUAAUUUUUAUAUUAUUCCAUAGAGAUCAGGUUUCAUUUUAUUGCCCAGGCUGGUCUCAAACUCUUGGGCUCAUGUAAUCUCCUGCCUGGGCCUCUUGAAGUGUUAGGAUUGAGGUGUGAGUUACUGCUCCCAGCAUCUGCCAUAGUUCUUAACCCCUUUUACUAUUGUAAUUGUGAGUAAUUAAUACAAAGUAAAAUGAUUUAAUUAUAAUUAUUAAUUAUGAUUUAUUAAAAUUGUAAACUAUGAAAAUAUAGCUCCAAAUGAUCACAAAAACUUUCAGGCAUGGAUCCCAUAAUCUAAUUCUCCUAUGUUCUCUUCAGUGCCAGCAAUAGUGACGGUCACAGCCUUGGAAAUAGAGAUGAGGGUCCAUCAGUGGGAAAAUUUUAUGAUAAAAUACAAUAUUUACAGAAAUACUAAUUAUCUAUUUUAUAUUAAUUAAAUAUAAUGAUACUGUACUGCCAUUUAUAGGAUACUGCAUUUUCAAACCUUUCAUAGAUGUGUCUCAAGUUUUGAUCAAUUUAUACAAAUUUUUAAAAAUGUUUUAGAAAUGUUGCAGGGCAUCGGUUAGGAUGCUGCAUUUCAGUGACCAUAUGUGGACUGAGACUAGCCAAACUCGGACUUGAAACUGUUUGAGAGUGACUAACGUGAGAGCCAGAGACUUAAUGGAGGGGGCAGAAUCAAUGCAAGAUGCUUGGUGUAUCCUCUUCUCUGUCAUACUUUUGAGAAAUUUGUGAAUGAGGACAAAUGGUCACAAGUAUUGAGUAUUGGGAUGAUGGUGGUAGCAAUCCUCUAAUUGAAAUCUAAUUGUAUCAGGAAAAGCCUCCUAUAACAGAAUAACUUUAAAAUUAGGAUAAAAAUGUCAUAAGUAGUGAGAGGAAAAAACAUUGGUAGCAUGCCAUCUUAAAAAGUGAUAUAACUACAACAAACAAACAAAACAAACAAACAAACCAAAAAUAGAUGCAGAAAAGGUUUUCGAUAAAAUUCAACAACCUUUCAGGUUAAAAGCCCUCAACAAACUAGGCGUCAAAGGUACACACCUCAAAAUAAUAAGAGCCAUCCACAACAAGCCCACAGCCAAAAUCAUACUGAACAGGCAAAAGCUGGCAGCAUUCCCCUUGAGAAACGGGAACAAGGCAAUGAUGACAAUUUUCACCACUCCUAUUCAACAUGAUACUGAAAGUCCUAGCCAGAGCAAUAAGGCAAGAUAAAGUAAUAAAAGCCAUCCAAAUAGGAAGAGAGGAAGUCAAACCUUAACUCUUCACAGAUAUUAUGAUACUAGACUUAGAAAACCCCAUAGUCUCUGCCCACAGGCUCCUAGAUCUGAUAGACAACUUCAGCAAAGUUUCAGGAUACAAAACCAAUGUAUAGAAAUCAAUAGCAUUUCUAUAUACCAAUAACAUCCAAGCUGAGAGCCAAGCCAAGAACACAAUUUCAUUCACGGUAGCCACAAAAAGAAUAAAAUAGGAAUACACCUCGGAAUACAGUUCGCUAGGGAGGUGAAAGAUCUCUAUAAUGAGAAUUACAAAACCUUGUUGAAAGAAAUCAGAGAUGACAUAGACAAAUGGAAAAACAUUCCAUGAUCAUGGAUAGGAAGAAUCAAUAUUGUUAGAAUGACCAUACUGCCUAAAGCAAUCCACAGAGUGAAGGCUGUUCGUAUCAAACUACCAAUGACAUUUUUUCACAGUAUUAGAAAAAAAAAUUAUAAAAUCCAUUUGUAACCAAAAAAAAAAAAAAAAAAAUCCCAAAUAACCAAAGUGAUCCUAUGUAAAAAGAACAAAACUGGAGUCAUUAUACUACCCAACUUCAAACUAUACUAUAAGAUAACAGCAACUAAAAUAACAUGGCACUGAUACAAAAACAUACAAAUGGAACAGAUUAGAAAACCCAGAAAUAAAGCCACACAUCUACAACCAUCUGAUAUUCAACAAAGCCAACAAAAACAAGAAAUAGAGAAAGGACUCCCUAUUCAGUAAACAGUGUUGGGAUAAUUGACUAGUCAUAUGCAGAAAAUUGAAACUGGACCCCUACUUUUCACUGUACACAAAAUUCAACUCAAGAUGGAUUAAAGAUUUAACUGUAAAACCUAUAAUUAUGAAUACCCUAGAAGAAAAUCUAGGAAAUACCAUUCUGGACAUCGACCCAGGCAAAGACUUCAUGAUGAAGACUCCAAAAGCAAUUGUAACAAAAAUGAAAAUUAACAGAUGAGACCUAAUUAAACUAAAGAACUUCUAUACAAGGGGGCGGAGCAAGAUGGCCGAAUAGGAACAGCUCCAGUCUCCAACUCCCAGCGCGAGCGACACAGAAGACCGGUGAUUUCUGCAUUUUCAACUGAGGUACUGGGUUCAUCUCACUGGGGAGUGCCGGAUGAUCGGUGCUGGUCAGCUGCUGCAGCCCAAACAACAAGAGCUGAAGCAGGGCGAGGCAUCGCCUCACCUGGGAAGCGCAAGGGGGAAGGGAAUCCCUUUUCCUAGCCAGGGGAACUGAGACACACAACACCUGGAAAAUCGGGUAACUCCCACCCCAAUACUGCGCUUUAAGCAAACAGGCACACCAGGAGAUCAUAUCCCACACCUGGUUCGGAGGGUCCCACGCCCGCGGAGUCUCCCUCAUUGCUAGCACAGCAGUCUGUGAUCUACCGGCAAGGCAGCAGCGAGGCUGGGGGAGGGGCGCCCGCCAUUGCUGAGGCUUAAGUAGGUAAACAAAGCUGCUGGGAAGCUCGAACUGGGUGGAGCUCACAGCAGCUCAAGGAAACCUGCCUGUCUCUGUAGACUCCACCUCUGGGGACAGGGCAAUAACAAACGCAGCCGAAACCGCUGCAGACGCAAACGACUCUGUCUGACAGCUUUGAAGAGAGCAGUGGAUCUCCCAACACGGAGGUUGAGAUCUGAGAAGGGACAGACUCCCUGCUCAAGUGGGUCCCUGAGCCCUGAGUAGCCUAACUGGGAGACAUC